GAACAGGUUCUGAUUGUUCUUGGGGCUCAGGAAUUCAGCAGCUGGGAGGGGCAGACAGGGUUCAGAUUUACCAGGUGCAAUAACCUGCAAUCAUCGGAAACAAAAUAAUUGAGGCCAUAUAAAUUCUGGAACUUUGGGCUAUUUACAUGGGAAGGAAAACAUUUUAAAUCAACCUGAGAAGAAAGCACUAAAUUGAACCCAUCAUGAAAAUGAUUCCUGAAAAGGUGAAGAAAGAAAAUAAUCGUGAACUAUGCAAAGUACAGCAAGACCAAAGUUCACGGACUCGGAAGUGAGGAAAAUGGUGAUUUUUCUCUGUAACUGAUCUUAUUCUGCAGCCCCAGUCCAGGAGAACAGAAACUUGUUGAUUAAAUGUAAUUCAGCCUAUUUGCAUUUACAACUAUAAAUAUUCAG
Molecule: long non-coding RNA, 411 nt
Filed under: Fukomys damarensis (Damara mole-rat)
Lineage: Eukaryota; Metazoa; Chordata; Mammalia; Rodentia; Bathyergidae
Description: lncRNA (ENSFDAG00000022444.1)
Source: RNAcentral